UACGUAGGGGGCUAGCGUUGUCCGGAAUCAUUGGGCGUAAAGCGCGCGUAGGCGGCCCGGUAAGUCCGCUGUGAAAGUCAAAGGCUCAACCUUUGAAUGUCAGCGGAUACUGCCGGGCUAGAGUCCGGAAGAGGCGAGUGGAACUCCUGGUGUAGCGGUGGAAUGCGCAGAUAUCAGGAAGAACACCAACGGCGAAGGCAGCUCUCUGGGUCCCUACCGACGCUGGGGUGCGAAAGCAUGGGGAGCGAACAGG
This 253-nucleotide ribosomal RNA is filed under the name uncultured bacterium. RNAcentral describes it as "partial 16S ribosomal RNA". It matches the Rfam family "Bacterial small subunit ribosomal RNA", at positions 524 to 776 of the family's 1533-position model. The record is from RNAcentral.